AUUGAACGCUGGCGGCAGGCCUAACACAUGCAAGUCGAACGGUAGCACAGAAGAGCUUGCUCUUCGGGUGACGAGUGGCGGACGGGUGAGUAAUGUCUGGGGAUCUGCCCGGUAGAGGGGGAUAACCACUGGAAACGGUGGCUAAUACCGCAUAACGUCGCAAGACCAAAGAGGGGGACCUUCGGGCCUCUCACUAUCGGAUGAACCCAGAUGGGAUUAGCUAGUAGGUGGGGUAACGGCUCACCUAGGCGACGAUCCCUAGCUGGUCUGAGAGGAUGACCAGCCACACUGGAACUGAGACACGGUCCAGACUCCUACGGGAGGCAGCAGUGGGGAAUAUUGCACAAUGGGCGCAAGCCUGAUGCAGCCAUGCCGCGUGUAUGAAGAAGGCCUUCGGGUUGUAAAGUACUUUCAGCGGGGAGGAAGGGAUGGAGCUUAAUACGCUCUGUCAUUGACGUUACCCGCAGAAGAAGCACCGGCUAACUCCGUGCCAGCAGCCGCCGUAA
This 506-nucleotide ribosomal RNA is filed under the name uncultured bacterium. RNAcentral describes it as "bacterial SSU rRNA". It matches the Rfam family "Bacterial small subunit ribosomal RNA", at positions 30 to 523 of the family's 1533-position model. The record is from RNAcentral.